UGCUGAGGUUGGCAGAGUCCUCUGAGUUCCUCUAACUUAAUCCCUGCCCAAGCAGGGACACCCAGAGCAGGGUGCCCAGGACAAAGUUCAGGCAGUUUUUGAAGUUCUUCAAGAAGGAGAUUCCACAGCCUCUCUGGGGCCGGAUGUGGAGAAGGAAUCUUACAGUUCAUAAACAAGAUCAUAAAAGAACAACUUGCUUUGUUACCACUUCUACUGAGGCUGUGAAACACGAGUUACUGAAAAUACUACACUGCAGCUUGUGUCCAUGAGGCUCAGGAGAAUGAGAUGCUGUGCUGCAAACAACUCAGAAGCAGGUACAGAAGUUUGUAUUGAAACAAGAAGCAAACCUCUCCCAGAGCAGGAAAGGAGAAGAAGGAGGGGAGAAAAUGAGCUGCCUCAGUAAUAUACCUCCUCUGACAAAGCUGAAAGUGCCUGGCUAUUUCUCAGCAAAUGAAAAAAAGUCUAAAGGAAUGAGGACUUGUGUGGCCUCCCCCAACCAAAAAAAUAAAAAAAGAGGAAAUGAGCUAUCCUGGCAAAGACUUUUGGAUUAAAUCUACAGAUUACACUGGACCUGACUUCACUCAGAGACUGAAAUACGUGCCGCUCUCUUGAUGAGCAGAUACAUUACAUUCAAUCUAUCUAGCAGUUUUUGUCCUGCACAAGCCAAAUCUCCUUUCAACAUCAAUAUUAUUUAUUAGCUCAUGAGCUUUCCUCUGCAAGUCAUCACCAGGAGAUCUGAGAGCCUCUACAGACACUAGCAAGCCUAUUCUCAUACUGGUUUGCACAAGGGAAUAAGAUAGAGUGCUAGCCUGGAGCAGAAGUCACUUCUCCAUACCAGUUCUGCAGGAUUCUACAUACCAGGUUCAGCUGAUCCUGCUGGAAUUCCUUGCUGAGCCAAAUUUUGGCUCCUACAGACCAUCUGUGCACUGCAAAGACCCUGGCUCCUUGCCUGUCUGCUACAUUGCCUCCCAAAGUACUCACAAACCAUGCAGCAG
Molecule: long non-coding RNA, 995 nt
Filed under: Gallus gallus (chicken)
Lineage: Eukaryota; Metazoa; Chordata; Aves; Galliformes; Phasianidae
Description: lncRNA (ENSGALG00010006466.1)
Source: RNAcentral